UAGUAGUCAUGAAACCGUGUU
This 21-nucleotide non-coding RNA is filed under the name Caenorhabditis elegans. The record is from RNAcentral. Lineage: Eukaryota; Metazoa; Nematoda; Chromadorea; Rhabditida; Rhabditidae.